GAUGGCGUGCCUUUUGUAGAAUGAACCGGCGAGUUACGAUUUGAUGCAAGGUUAAGCAGUAAAUGUGGAGCCGUAGCGAAAGCGAGUCUGAAUAGGGCGUUUAGUAUUUGGUCGUAGACCCGAAACCAGGUGAUCUACCCUUGGUCAGGUUGAAGUUCAGGUAACACUGAAUGGAGGACCGAACCGACUUACGUUGAAAAGUGAGCGGAUGAACUGAGGGUAGCGGAGAAAUUCCAAUCGAACCUGGAGAUAGCUGGUUCUCUCCGAAAUAGCUUUAGGGCUAGCCUCAAGUGAUGAUUAUUGGAGGUAGAGCACUGUUUGGACGAGGGGCCCCUCUCGGGUUACCGAAUUCAGACAAACUCCGAAUGCCAAUUAAUUUAACUUGGGAGUCAGAACAUGGGUGAUAAGGUCCGUGUUCGAAAGGGAAACAGCCCAGACCACCAGCUAAGGUCCCAAAAUAUAUGUUAAGUGGAAAAGGAUGUGGCGUUGCCCAGACAACUAGGAUGUUGGCUUAGAAGCAGCCAUCAUUUAAAGAGUGCGUAAUAGCUCACUAGUCGAGUGACACUGCGCCGAAAAUGUACCGGGGCUAAACAUAUUACCGAAGCUGUGGAUUGUCCUUUGGACAAUGGUAGGAGAGCGUUCUAAGGGCGUUGAAGCAUGAUCGUAAGGACAUGUGGAGCGCUUAGAAGUGAGAAUGCCGGUGUGAGUAGCGAAAGACGGGUGAGAAUCCCGUCCACCGAUUGACUAAGGUUUCCAGAGGAAGGCUCGUCCGCUCUGGGUUAGUCGGGUCCUAAGCUGAGGCCGACAGGCGUAGGCGAUGGAUAACAGGUUGAUAUUCCUGUACCACCUAUAAUCGUUUUAAUCGAUGGGGGGACGCAGUAGGAUAGGCGAAGCGUGCGAUUGGAUUGCACGUCUAAGCAGUAAGGCUGAGUAUUAGGCAAAUCCGGUACUCAUUAAGGCUGAGCUGUGAUGGGGAGAAGACAUUGUGUCUUCGAGUCGUUGAUUUCACACUGCCGAGAAAAGCCUCUAGAUAGAAAAUAGGUGCCCGUACCGCAAACCGACACAGGUAGUCAAGAUGAGAAUUCUAAGGUGAGCGAGCGAACUCUCGUUAAGGAACUCGGCAAAAUGACCCCGUAACUUCGGGAGAAGGGGUGCUCUUUAGGGUUAACGCCCAGAAGAGCCGCAGUGAAUAGGCCCAAGCGACUGUUUAUCAAAAACACAGGUCUCUGCUAAACCGUAAGGUGAUGUAUAGGGGCUGACGCCUGCCCGGUGCUGGAAGGUUAAGAGGAGUGGUUAGCUUCUGCGAAGCUACGAAUCGAAGCCCCAGUAAACGGCGGCCGUAACUAUAACGGUCCUAAGGUAGCGAAAUUCCUUGUCGGGUAAGUUCCGACCCGCACGAAAGGCGUAACGAUUUGGGCACUGUCUCAACGAGAGACUCGGUGAAAUCAUAGUACCUGUGAAGAUGCAGGUUACCCGCGACAGGACGGAAAGACCCCGUGGAGCUUUACUGUAGCCUGAUAUUGAAAUUCGGCACAGCUUGUACAGGAUAGGUAGGAGCCUUUGAAACGUGAGCGCUAGCUUACGUGGAGGCGCUGGUGGGAUACUACCCUAGCUGUGUUGGCUUUCUAACCCGCACCACUUAUCGUGGUGGGAGACAGUGUCAGGCGGGCAGUUUGACUGGGGCGGUCGCCUCCUAAAAGGUAACGGAGGCGCUCAAAGGUUCCCUCAGAAUGGUUGGAAAUCAUUCAUAGAGUGUAAAGGCAUAAGGGAGCUUGACUGCGAGACCUACAAGUCGAGCAGGGUCGAAAGACGGACUUAGUGAUCCGGUGGUUCCGCAUGGAAGGGCCAUCGCUCAACGGAUAAAAGCUACCCCGGGGAUAACAGGCUUAUCUCCCCCAAGAGUUCACAUCGACGGGGAGGUUUGGCACCUCGAUGUCGGCUCAUCGCAUCCUGGGGCUGUAGUCGGUCCCAAGGGUUGGGCUGUUCGCCCAUUAAAGCGGUACGCGAGCUGGGUUCAGAACGUCGUGAGACAGUUCGGUCCCUAUCCGUCGUGGGCGUAGGAAAUUUGAGAGGAGCUGUCCUUAGUACGAGAGGACCGGGAUGGACAUACCUCUGGUGUACCAGUUGUCGUGCCAACGGCAUAGCUGGGUAGCUAUGUGUGGACGGGAUAAGUGCUGAAAGCAUCUAAGCAUGAAGCCCCCCUCAAGAUGAGAUUUCCCAACUUCGGUUAUAAGAUCCCUCAAAGAUGAUGAGGUUAAUAGGUUCGAGGUGGAAGCAUGGUGACAUGUGGAGCUGACGAAUACUAAUCGAUCGAAGACUUAAUCAA
RNAcentral lists this ribosomal RNA (2326 nucleotides) under Staphylococcus aureus. RNAcentral describes it as "bacterial LSU rRNA". It matches the Rfam family "Bacterial large subunit ribosomal RNA", at positions 595 to 2925 of the family's 2925-position model. Lineage: Bacteria; Bacillati; Bacillota; Bacilli; Caryophanales; Staphylococcaceae. The record is from RNAcentral.